RNAcentral lists this ribosomal RNA (1670 nucleotides) under Shigella sonnei. Its description in RNAcentral is "partial 23S ribosomal RNA". It matches the Rfam family "Bacterial large subunit ribosomal RNA", at positions 1265 to 2915 of the family's 2925-position model. The record is from RNAcentral. Lineage: Bacteria; Pseudomonadati; Pseudomonadota; Gammaproteobacteria; Enterobacterales; Enterobacteriaceae.
GAGGCAUGCUGGAGGUAUCAGAAGUGCGAAUGCUGACAUAAGUAACGAUAAAGCGGGUGAAAAGCCCGCUCGCCGGAAGACCAAGGGUUCCUGUCCAACGUUAAUCGGGGCAGGGUGAGUCGACCCCUAAGGCGAGGCCGAAAGGCGUAGUCGAUGGGAAACAGGUUAAUAUUCCUGUACUUGGUGUUACUGCGAAGGGGGGACGGAGAAGGCUAUGUUGGCCGGGCGACGGUUGUCCCGGUUUAAGCGUGUAGGCUGGUUUUCCAGGCAAAUCCGGAAAAUCAAGGCUGAGGCGUGAUGACGAGGCACUACGGUGCUGAAGCAACAAAUGCCCUGCUUCCAGGAAAAGCCUCUAAGCAUCAGGUAACAUCAAAUCGUACCCCAAACCGACACAGGUGGUCAGGUAGAGAAUACCAAGGCGCUUGAGAGAACUCGGGUGAAGGAACUAGGCAAAAUGGUGCCGUAACUUCGGGAGAAGGCACGCUGAUAUGUAGGUGAAGUCCCUUGCGGAUGGAGCUGAAAUCAGUCGAAGAUACCAGCUGGCUGCAACUGUUUAUUAAAAACACAGCACUGUGCAAACACGAAAGUGGACGUAUACGGUGUGACGCCUGCCCGGUGCCGGAAGGUUAAUUGAUGGGGUCAGCGCAAGCGAAGCUCUUGAUCGAAGCCCCGGUAAACGGCGGCCGUAACUAUAACGGUCCUAAGGUAGCGAAAUUCCUUGUCGGGUAAGUUCCGACCUGCACGAAUGGCGUAAUGAUGGCCAGGCUGUCUCCACCCGAGACUCAGUGAAAUUGAACUCGCUGUGAAGAUGCAGUGUACCCGCGGCAAGACGGAAAGACCCCGUGAACCUUUACUAUAGCUUGACACUGAACAUUGAGCCUUGAUGUGUAGGAUAGGUGGGAGGCUUUGAAGUGUGGACGCCAGUCUGCAUGGAGCCGGCCUUGAAAUACCACCCUUUAAUGUUUGAUGUUCUAACGUGGACCCGUGAUCCGGGUUGCGGACAGUGUCUGGUGGGUAGUUUGACUGGGGCGGUCUCCUCCUAAAGAGUAACGGAGGAGCACGAAGGUUGGCUAAUCCUGGUCGGACAUCAGGAGGUUAGUGCAAUGGCAUAAGCCAGCUUGACUGCGAGCGUGACGGCGCGAGCAGGUGCGAAAGCAGGUCAUAGUGAUCCGGUGGUUCUGAAUGGAAGGGCCAUCGCUCAACGGAUAAAAGGUACUCCGGGGAUAACAGGCUGAUACCGCCCAAGAGUUCAUAUCGACGGCGGUGUUUGGCACCUCGAUGUCGGCUCAUCACAUCCUGGGGCUGAAGUAGGUCCCAAGGGUAUGGCUGUUCGCCAUUUAAAGUGGUACGCGAGCUGGGUUUAGAACGUCGUGAGACAGUUCGGUCCCUAUCUGCCGUGGGCGCUGGAGAACUGAGGGGGGCUGCUCCUAGUACGAGAGGACCGGAGUGGACGCAUCACUGGUGUUCGGGUUGUCAUGCCAAUGGCACUGCCCGGUAGCUAAAUGCGGAAGAGAUAAGUGCUGAAAGCAUCUAAGCACGAAACUUGCCCCGAGAUGAGUUCUCCCUGACCCUUUAAGGGUCCUGAAGGAACGUUGAAGACGACGACGUUGAUAGGCCGGGUGUGUAAGCGCAGCGAUGCGUUGAGCUAACCGGUACUAAUGAACCGUGAG